This 253-nucleotide ribosomal RNA is filed under the name uncultured bacterium. RNAcentral's name for it is "partial 16S ribosomal RNA". It matches the Rfam family "Bacterial small subunit ribosomal RNA", at positions 524 to 776 of the family's 1533-position model. The record is from RNAcentral.
UACGGAGGGUGCAAGCGUUAUCCGGAUUCACUGGGUUUAAAGGGUGCGUAGGUGGGCAGGUAAGUCAGUGGUGAAAUCUCCGGGCUUAACCCGGAAACUGCCAUUGAUACUAUUUAUCUUGAAUACUUUGGAGGUAAGCGGAAUAUGUCAUGUAGCGGUGAAAUGCUUAGAUAUGACAUAGAACACCAAUUGCGAAGGCAGCUUACUACACAGUUAUUGACACUGAGGCACGAAAGCGUGGGGAUCAAACAGG